UACAGAGGGUGCGAGCGUUGUUCGGAAUUAUUGGGCGUAAAGGGCGCGUAGGCGGUGCGGUAAGUCACCUGUGAAAUCUCCUGGCUCAACUGGGAGCUUGCAGGCGAAACUGCCGUGCUGGAGUGUGGGAGAGGUGCGUGGAAUUCCUGGUGUAGCGGUGAAAUGCGUAGAUAUCAGGAGGAACACCGAUGGCGAAGGCAGCUCGCUGGGACGGUACUGACGCUGAGGCGCGAAAGCGUGGGGAGCGAACAGG
This 253-nucleotide ribosomal RNA is filed under the name uncultured bacterium. RNAcentral's name for it is "partial 16S ribosomal RNA". It matches the Rfam family "Bacterial small subunit ribosomal RNA", at positions 524 to 776 of the family's 1533-position model. The record is from RNAcentral.